ACCGUAGGAGGCAAGCGUUAUCCGGAUUUACUGGGCGUAAAGCGCGUGCAGGCGGUCUGGUAAGUUGGAUGUGAAAGCUCCCGGCUCAACUGGGAGAGGUCGUUCAAAACUGCCAGACUAGAGGACGGUAGAGGGAGGUGGAAUUCCGGAUGUAGUGGUGAAAUGCGUAGAUAUCCGGAGGAACACCAGUGGCGAAAGCGGCCUCCUGGACCGUCCCUGACGCUCAGACGCGAAAGCUAGGGGAGAAAACGGG
This 253-nucleotide ribosomal RNA is filed under the name uncultured bacterium. RNAcentral describes it as "partial 16S ribosomal RNA". It matches the Rfam family "Bacterial small subunit ribosomal RNA", at positions 524 to 776 of the family's 1533-position model. The record is from RNAcentral.